This 86-nucleotide transfer RNA is filed under the name Planctomycetes bacterium ADurb.Bin412. RNAcentral's name for it is "tRNA-Ser". It matches the Rfam family "tRNA". Rfam says of the family: Transfer RNA (tRNA) molecules are approximately 80 nucleotides in length. Their secondary structure includes four short double-helical elements and three loops (D, anti-codon, and T loops). Further hydrogen bonds mediate the characteristic L-shaped molecular structure. tRNAs have two regions of fundamental functional importance: the anti-codon, which is responsible for specific mRNA codon recognition, and the 3' end, to which the tRNAs corresponding amino acid is attached (by aminoacyl-tRNA synthetases). tRNAs cope with the degeneracy of the genetic code in two manners: having more than one tRNA (with a specific anti-codon) for a particular amino acid; and 'wobble' base-pairing, i.e. permitting non-standard base-pairing at the 3rd anti-codon position. Lineage: Bacteria; Pseudomonadati; Planctomycetota. The record is from RNAcentral.
UGCGGAUGUGGCGGAACUGGCAGACGCGCAGGCUUCAGGUGCCUGUGGGGGCAACCCCGUGGAGGUUCGACUCCUCUCAUCCGCAG